AUGGCGUUCGUGCCGAUCUGCGUGCAGUGCGGGACGAGGAGCAACCCGUGCCGGUGCAAGGUGGUCGGCCCGACGCUGGGAUUCGUGGCGCUCGUCGUGGCCGGAGUGGUGGAGUGGCCGCUGGGUGCUGCCGUGUACCUUUUCCGCCACCGCAAGGGCCGCCGCAUCAUGGGUCACCCGGCCAGGGUCGUGUACCCUCGCGUCACCGGCGCAAUCCCCAUCUAA
Molecule: ribosomal RNA, 225 nt
Filed under: Triticum aestivum (bread wheat)
Lineage: Eukaryota; Viridiplantae; Streptophyta; Magnoliopsida; Poales; Poaceae
Description: partial small subunit ribosomal RNA
Source: RNAcentral